Molecule: non-coding RNA, 30 nt
Filed under: Actinoplanes sp. SE50/110
Lineage: Bacteria; Bacillati; Actinomycetota; Actinomycetes; Micromonosporales; Micromonosporaceae
Source: RNAcentral
GAAGUAGCACGUCAUCUCCUGCCCUGAGAC